AAUGUCCUCCAGGCUAUUCCAACAAACACUGAGCUGUGGGUUUAACUGUGCACAUCAAAGUGAAGAACCGAGAGAACGGUCCUGCAAGGGAGAUAAGCGCCUUUCUGCAACACCCCCCCCACCACCACCAAAAAAAAAAAAGCCCAUCCCAUACACGCCUCAGUUUCCUGUUGCACCAUUGCGCCAGACACUCCCGUGGCAGCCUGGCACACAGCUGGAGCGAAUUCUUUUUCAAAGGAGGAUUUUUUAUUAUGUUGUCUUUUUUUUUUAAUGAAAGCUUUCAGACUUGGAAUUUUUUUUUCAUCUCUUGAGUUGUUACUAAGUUGCCAGGACCUUAUCAAAGGGAAACAAUCUCCAGCCAACUCCCCCAGGCCUUGGAACGUCAGAAAUUAUGAUUCCGCCCAGAGGCCGCAAUCAGGUUCACUCACAGUGCUUUGUCCCAGUACAUACAAAGACUGAGUCCCUGAGUAUAUGAUGUAAGGUCCUCAUCGUUCCAAUAUUUAUGCAUGUAUUACCAGGAGAGGUCAUGGGAAUUUAAUCUCAUCUAUUUGUAGCCACUCGCUGCUUAACCGCAGCUUGCUAGAAUAUUGCGAGCAGCCCAGAUGUGAAGAGCUUUGGCAGAUCGAGCAAGUGACAUAUUUGAAAAGGCCGCAAGAAGGGAAACAUUUGAAGAUUCGUCUCAUUUGCACAGUUUGCGGGCACAAUGAAUGCAUCAAAGACUAGAAAGACUCUUAAUAUUAAUAAUAAAUUAGUAUGUAUUUGUGUCGUGGUAGCAUCUAUGAGCCCCAGUCAUGGACCGGGCCCCUAUUGUGCUAGGCGCUGUACAAGCAACAGAACAAAAAGAUGGUCCCUACCCCAAAGAGUUUACAAUCUAAUCCCACCACCACCCAGCAAACCCUUGCUACCUACACAGAGUUUACUACUGCGAGUAGUUCCACUGAAACCUAUAGUACUAAUGUGCUAUAGAUGCCAAAGGCUGUGUCUACACCAGCCUUCAUUGUGAAAAGCUUCCUACCAGUAGUAGCAAUGGUGGGAGUGCUUGUGUAGACAGGGCUUCAGUUGGCAGCUAUGGACUAAGCCCCAUAAAAUCUAAAUUUGCUCUGCGUAGGUCUAUGUGACAGAGUAGUUGAAAGGACUGAUACUUUGUGCCACCAUUAGGAAAGCUGCACCAGUGUUAGAAAUGGAAAGGGUGGUGGGAAAGAGAGCUCUUUAGAUAAAAGCCUAGUGUUAAAAAGUCUGAGCCUAUUCAUAGGAGUAAUCAAGUGCUUGUAGGAUUAGGCCCCUUCCAGGCUCCCUAAAAACACCCUUUGCCCUCCCCAGAUUCCUCCAGUUUCCUUAGUUUGUACAGUAUGUAAAAUGUUCUCCUGAUGGUUUUUAGGCACUGGAAAAGUUCUUACAGUGCUUGUUAUUGGCAAAUUCUAAUAUAAGCUCUCCCUCAUGCCCAUCAAAAAGAUGUUCCUAUAAACUGUUCAGAUCAGUUAAUUAGUCAUUACUAAUUAGAAACUGUUAGUUAAUACGGUGAUGGGCACUAUAGAAAACCCUAAGACAGAGGGAUAAACUGGAGAAGAGAAGACUGAGAGGGGACAUAUACAGUUUUCAAGUACAUAAAAGGUUGUU
Chrysemys picta bellii (western painted turtle) is the source of this 1617-nucleotide non-coding RNA. Lineage: Eukaryota; Metazoa; Chordata; Testudines; Emydidae. The record is from RefSeq and is a predicted model, not a curated record.